Picea glauca (white spruce) is the source of this 121-nucleotide non-coding RNA. The record is from Rfam. Lineage: Eukaryota; Viridiplantae; Streptophyta; Pinopsida; Pinales; Pinaceae.
ACAUGCCUACAACAUAGCGUUAAUUCAUUGGAUCCCAUUAUAACUUCGCAGUUAAGCGCACUCAAUCUAGAGUAGUACUGGGAUGGGUGACCACCUAAGAAGUGCCAGUUUUUUACAUGCC